This 72-nucleotide transfer RNA is filed under the name Mizuhopecten yessoensis (Yesso scallop). RNAcentral's name for it is "tRNA-Cys". It matches the Rfam family "tRNA". Rfam says of the family: Transfer RNA (tRNA) molecules are approximately 80 nucleotides in length. The record is from Rfam by way of RNAcentral. Lineage: Eukaryota; Metazoa; Mollusca; Bivalvia; Pectinida; Pectinidae.
UGGUAUAUAGCUCAGUGGUAAAGCAUUCGACUGCAAUUCGAGAGGUCCCUGGUUCGAAUCCGGGUGUCCCCU